Molecule: unclassified non-coding RNA, 339 nt
Filed under: Hevea brasiliensis (rubber tree)
Lineage: Eukaryota; Viridiplantae; Streptophyta; Magnoliopsida; Malpighiales; Euphorbiaceae
Source: RNAcentral
GGAGCCUGAUCUAGAGCUUCCCACCGAAAAACGAGAAGCAUUCACCUAGUUGUUACUAAAGGUCUUCCAUUUGAUUUUAUUUUUUUUGAAAGAUAAAAAAUAAGUACAUGCAGCAGGCAGAUGAGAGGAAAUUGAAUUAACGGGUGAACCUUUCAUUGUUAGGGGUUUCAUGAUACAAGUGUUUUCGGACAGUGGAAACGGGAUAAAAAUAAAUCAUCAUUAUUAUUUUUUUUCUGAAAGCAUCGACUUAUUUGAUCCUGAUUCCUGAUGUGUUGACAUAGACUUAUUUUGCAAGUUGAAUAGCGUCAAAGUUGGAGUUUCUACUUAGUAUCAUUAAUC